This 421-nucleotide ribosomal RNA is filed under the name Fusobacteriota bacterium. RNAcentral describes it as "Fusobacteria bacterium partial 16S ribosomal RNA". It matches the Rfam family "Bacterial small subunit ribosomal RNA", at positions 355 to 776 of the family's 1533-position model. Lineage: Bacteria; Fusobacteriati; Fusobacteriota. The record is from RNAcentral.
UGGGGAAUAUUGCACAAUGGACGGAAGUUUGAUGCAGCGACGCCGCGUGGAGGGUGUAGGCCUUCGGGUUGUGAACUCCUUUUUCUCGCGAAAAAGGCACAGUUUUGGCUGUGUUGAUGGUAGUGGGGGAAGAAGCGCCGGCUAACUACGUGCCAGCAGCCGCGGUAAUACGUAGGGCGCGAGCGUUGUCCGGAUUUAUUGGGCGUAAAGAGCUCGUAGGUGGUUCGUCGCGUCUGUCGUGAAAGCCAGAAGCUUAACUGUUGGUCUGCGGUGGGUACGGGCGGGCUUGAGUGCGGUAGGGGUGACUUGAAUUCCUGGUGUAGCGGUGGAAUGCGCAGAUAUCAGGAGGAACACCGAUGGCGAAGGCAGGUCACUGGGCCGUUACUGACACUGAGGAGCGAAAGCGUGGGGAGCGAACAGG